This 253-nucleotide ribosomal RNA is filed under the name uncultured bacterium. Its description in RNAcentral is "partial 16S ribosomal RNA". It matches the Rfam family "Bacterial small subunit ribosomal RNA", at positions 524 to 776 of the family's 1533-position model. The record is from RNAcentral.
UACGGAGGGUGCGAGCGUUGUUCGGAAUCACUGGGCGUAAAGCGCGUGUAGGCGGCCCAUUAAGUCUGAUGUGAAAGCCCGGGGCUCACCCCCGGAAGUGCAUUGGAAACUGAUGGACUCGAGUCCCGGAGAGGAGAGUGGAAUUCCUGGUGUAGCGGUGAAAUGCGUAGAUAUCAGGAGGAACACCGGUGGCGAAGGCGGGUCUCUGGGCAGUAACUGACGCUGAGGAGCGAAAGCGUGGGGAGCGAACAGG